GCCUUCGUGGUGUACUGGUCAACACACUCGGAUCGUAUUCGAGAGGUCCAUGGUUCGAGUCCCGGCGAAGGUG
RNAcentral lists this transfer RNA (73 nucleotides) under Stegodyphus mimosarum. It matches the Rfam family "tRNA". From Rfam's summary of the family: Transfer RNA (tRNA) molecules are approximately 80 nucleotides in length. Their secondary structure includes four short double-helical elements and three loops (D, anti-codon, and T loops). The record is from Rfam by way of RNAcentral. Lineage: Eukaryota; Metazoa; Arthropoda; Arachnida; Araneae; Eresidae.